GACGAACGCUGGCGGCGUGCUUAACACAUGCAAGUCGAACGGAAAGGCCCUGCUUUUGUGGGGUGCUCGAGUGGCGCACGGGUGAGUAACACGUGAGUAACCUGCCCUUGACUUUGGGAUAACUUCAGGAAACUGGGGCUAAUACCGUAUAGGAGCUCCUGCUCCAUGGUGGGGGUUGGAAAGUUUCGGCGGUUGGGGAUGGACUCGCGGCUUAUCAGCUUGUUGGUGGGGUAGUGGCUUACCAAGGCUUUGACGGGUAGCCGGCCUGAGAGGGUGACCGGCCACAUUGGGCCUGGGAUACGGCCCAGAAUCCUACGGGAGGCAGCAGUGGGGAAUAUUACACAAUGGGCGGAAGCCUGAUGCAGCAACGCCGGGUGCGGGAUGACGGCCUUCGGGUUGUAAACCGCUUGCGCCUGUGACGAAGCGUGAGUGACGGUAAUGGGUAAAGAAGCACCGGCUAACUACGUG
RNAcentral lists this ribosomal RNA (468 nucleotides) under uncultured bacterium. RNAcentral's name for it is "partial 16S ribosomal RNA". It matches the Rfam family "Bacterial small subunit ribosomal RNA", at positions 28 to 507 of the family's 1533-position model. The record is from RNAcentral.